Long non-coding RNA from Podarcis raffonei (Aeolian wall lizard), 944 nucleotides. RefSeq lists it as uncharacterized. The record is from RefSeq and is a predicted model, not a curated record. The transcript is spliced from 5 exons. Lineage: Eukaryota; Metazoa; Chordata; Lepidosauria; Squamata; Lacertidae.
CGCGAUGCAUUGCCGCCGAGCUGCAGUCAGCGGGGCGUCUGGGCUCGUCACCGUCGCUUCUGCCACCGGCAGCUCCAGGGCAUCAGUCAAGGCUCUAAUGUGAAAUAUCUGAUAGGAUGACAACGGCAGCUGCAAGCCCAGAACACAUGUUCCUGCCGCAGCUCAUGAUACUGUUGCCCAGGGCUGGCCGAAGACGUUUUGGCACCUGGGGCAAACCACAAAAUGGUGCCCCCUUCCCUGGCCAGGAAAGAAGGGGAAGUAAGCUGAAGUGGCAUUGAUGGCUCCACAGUCAAGGACUGCAGCAAGAGGCCCAGUCUUGAGUACCAUUCUUAGCACACCUGACUUUUGAACUUAGCACAGCUCUAGGUGCUCAUUCACAAACACAGUUGAUGGAAUAAAUGCAUUCAGAUCUCUUAAAAGACACGUGACUUCCAGAUGAAGCACCUGGGACUUCAGAGAAAAUAAAAGGUUCAAAGCUUGUCUGUGAUCACAGGCUUUUGGGUUUGAUCCAGCACAAUGGAAUCAACCGCAACGGCCCCAUUGUCUUUGAGGAUGCAAGUGCAAUUCCAGCGCACAAGCCUUUACAUGACCCUUAGGCAAAUUAUUUAUAGCCUCCAUUGCAACUCUGUUCUACCUCUGACAGGCAGAAGGCUGCCCUGCCUUAACGGUUGGGCAAAGUGGCCCUUUCUGGGUCAGGAACUCAACUCUUCAAGGGUCUCCAACUGUGAGCCUUGAAGAGAAUGGUAGAGAGCCAGUGGAUGAGGCUGUGCAUUUAGAGCCAUGAAAGGUUUCCUUAACAGAGGCUGACAUUCUGUUUUAUACUGUAAGCAAAAUGACAUACCUUCAUGUAUCCUUCUGCCUCUUUGGGGUACAGAGCCUUGUGAAUAAAGCAUGUGGAAUAAAGCAGCGGUUUCCAAACUAUGUUUCUGAGGGGCAUUAGGGCC